This 253-nucleotide ribosomal RNA is filed under the name uncultured bacterium. RNAcentral describes it as "partial 16S ribosomal RNA". It matches the Rfam family "Bacterial small subunit ribosomal RNA", at positions 524 to 776 of the family's 1533-position model. The record is from RNAcentral.
UACGUAGGUGGCAAGCGUUGUCCGGAAUUACUGGGCGUAAAGGGCGCGUAGGCGGUGCUCUAAGUCGGAUGUGAAAACUCUGGGCUCAACCCAGAGCCUGCAUCCGAAACUGGAGUGCUAGAGUUCUGGAGGGGGUAGCGGAAUUCCUGGUGUAGCGGUGAAAUGCGUAGAUAUCAGGAGGAACACCGGUGGCGAAGGCGGCUACCUGGACAGAAACUGACGCUGAGGCGCGAAAGCUAGGGGAGCAAACAGG